This 163-nucleotide unclassified non-coding RNA is filed under the name uncultured fungus. RNAcentral's name for it is "sequence contains ITS1, 5.8S rRNA gene". Lineage: Eukaryota; Fungi. The record is from RNAcentral.
GAAAGUACCGGCCCCCCCGGGGGCCUUACCUUCAAACCACUGUGAAACCACCCGUUGCUUCGCGGCAGGGCGCCCCCCGGGGCGCCUCCGUCAGUCCGCAGAAGCCCAACACAAAAACCACUUUGUAACAGUCUGUCUGAACAACAUGAAUUAAAAUUCGUUA